AUUGAACGCUGGCGGCAGGCCUAACACAUGCAAGUCGAACGGUAGCACAGAGAGCUUGUUCUCGGGUGACGAGUGGCGGACGGGUGAGUAACGUCUGGGAAACUGCCCGAUGGAGGGAGAUAACUACUGGAAACGGUAGCUAAUACCGCAUAACGUCGCAAGACCAAAGUGGGGGACCUUCGGGCCUAACACCAUCGGAUGUGCCCAGAUGGGAUUAGCUAGUAGGUGGGGUAAUGGCUCACCUAGGCGACGAUCCCUAGCUGGUCUGAGAGGAUGACCAGCCACACUGGAACUGAGACACGGUCCAGACUCCUACGGGAGGCAGCAGUGGGGAAUAUUGCACAAUGGGCGCAAGCCUGAUGCAGCCAUGCCGCGUGUAUGAAGAAGGCCUUCGGGUUGUAAAGUACUUUCAGCGGGGAGGAAGGCGGUGAAGUUAAUAACUUCACCGAUUGACGUUACCCGCAGAAGAAGCACCGGCUAACUCCGUGCCAGCCGCCGCAGUAA
This 504-nucleotide ribosomal RNA is filed under the name uncultured bacterium. RNAcentral describes it as "partial 16S ribosomal RNA". It matches the Rfam family "Bacterial small subunit ribosomal RNA", at positions 30 to 523 of the family's 1533-position model. The record is from RNAcentral.